CACCAAUCUGUCCAAGCCUUCAUCUUGCACUUCCCAGUCUUCAGAACUAUUCGAGGUUUGUGGCAACCCUGUAUCAAGUAAGUCCACUGGUGCCAUUUUUCCAACAGCACAUGCUAACUUCAUGUCUCUGUCACAGUUUAGUAAUUCUUAGAAUAGUUUAAUCUUUUUCAUUAUUAUUACAUCUGUUAUACUGAUCAUUAUAUCUGAUACAGUGAAUAUAGUGAUAUUAUACUGUUAUAAUCAGUGGUCCCUGGAGCUGGCAGAGGUUGGCUCAUGAGGUGUAAGGAAAAAAGGCAUCUCUAUAACAUAAAAGUGCAAGGUGAAGUAGCAAGUGCUGAUGUAGAAGCUGCAGCAAGUUAUCCAGAAGAUGUAGCUAAGAUCACUGGUGAAGGCAACUAAAAUAAACGACAGAUUUUCAAUGUAGAGAAAACAGCCUUGCAUUUGAAGACAAUGUUAUCUAGGACUUUCAUAGCUAAAGAGGAGAAGUUAUUGCCUGCUUCAAAGCUUCAAAGGACAGGCUGACUUUCUUGUUAGUAGCUAAUGCACUUGGUGACUUUAAGUGGAAGCCAGUGCUCUUUUACCAUUCCAAAAAUCUCAGGCUCCAUAAGAAUUAUGCUAAAUCUACUCUGCUUAUUCUGUAAAUGAACCAACAAAGCCUGGAUGACAGCAUGUCUGUUUACAGCACGGUUUACUGAAUAUUUUGAGCCCACUAUUGAAACAUAUGUUAGAAAAAAAUAUCAUUGUUCACUGACAAUGUAUGUAGUCACCCAAGAGCUCUGAUGGAGAUUUACAAGGAGAUUAAUGUGUUUUCAUGCCUGCUAACACAACUUGCAUUUUGUAGCACAUGGAUCAAGAACUAAUUGGGACUUUCAAGUCUUAUUAAUUAUUUAAGAAACACAUUUGGUAAGACUACAGCUGCUAUAAAUUGUGAUUCCUCUUACUGAUCUGGGAAAAUCAAACUGAAAACCUUCUAGAAAGAUCCACAAUUCUAUAUACCAUUACAAACAUUCGUGAUUCAUGGGAAAAGACAAAAAUAUCAACAUUAUCAGGAAUUUGGAAGAAGUUGAUUUCAACCCUUGUGGAUGGCUUUGAGGGGUUCUAGCAUUCAGUGGAGGAUGUAACAGCAGAUGUGGAUGUGGUGGAAACAGCAAGAGAACUAGAAGUGGACACUGAAGAUGGGACUGAAUUGCUACAAUCUCAUGAUAAAACUUGAACAAAUGAGGAGUUACUUCUUAUGGAUGAGCAAAGAAAGUGGUCUCUUGAGAUGGAAUCUACUCCUGGUGAAGAUGCCGUGAACAUUGUUCAAGUGACCCAAAGGAUAUAGAAUAUUAGAUGAACUUAUUUGAUAAAGCAGUGCCAGGGUUUGAGAGAACUGACUCCAAGUUUUAAAAGUUCUGUGUGGGUAAAAUGCUAUCAAACAGCACUGCAUACUACAGAGAAAUCUUUUGUGAAAGGAAGAGUCAGUCAAUGCAGCCAACUUCAUUGUUGUCCUAUUUUAAGAAAUUGCCACAGCCAUCCAACCCUCAGCAACCACCACUUUGAUCAGUCAGCAGCCAUCAACAUUAAGACAAGACCCUCCACCAGCAAAAAUACAAAGACUUGCUGAAAGCUUAGAUGAUCGUUAGUGUUUGUUAUACAUUUUGUGAAUUACAGAACAGAGUAUUCUUUAAUUAAGGUAUGUACUUUUUUUAGACAAAGUGCUAUCACACAAUUAAGAGACUACAGUAUAUAGUAAACAUAACUUUUAUACACAAUGGGAAAACAAAUUUGUGUGACUCACUUAAUUGCAAUAUUCACUCUGUUGUGGUUGUGGUGAUCUGGAACCAAACCGUCAGCAACUUUGAGGUAUGCCUGUGUGUGUGUCUGUGUGUGUGCACACAACUUGACCCUGAGUUAACUGUUUUAUUCUUCUCUUUUAUUUCUUAGCAAAUUUGCCAUGAUUUCAAAAAGAAAAACAGCUUAUAUUUAUAUUCCUACUUCCUCAUUCCUCAUUUACUUCUCAACCAUCUGUUGGCUUUUACUCAUAUCACUUUAUGUAAGAGAGGUCAUGCCAAAGUUAUAUACAUGGUUCCUUGUUCCUGGAGGGGAUAUCCAUUUGAAACAGAUAUAAAUAUGUGUGGAGAUAUAUAUAUAUAUAUAUGUAUGUAUGCAGGCUUUUAUAUAUGUAUUACUGUGUAUCACAGAACUUUGUUAUAGCCUCUGAAGUUAGAAAAACAAACAAUAUAAUAUGCAGUUCCAAGAACAUUUUAAUUUUUAUGUUAGAUAGAGACAAAAUUAAAAGAAACAUCACCACAACUGAAUGUUAACUACUUAAUUUUCAAAAUUGCCUUGGCAUUAAUAAAGGUUAUAUGUUUUCAGGAAAAAUGUGUGUGUCCUUAAAACAGAGCAUCAAUAUGUUAGCAGACAAAGAGCAGGACUGUUGAAGUUGAAUAGAACUUGAUUUAUUAGUUUUAUAAAAGUACAUGUGAUAUGAAUCUUUUAUCAUGUGGUUUAUCCUGUCAUGAAACGCAACCUUUGUUUAAAAAGUUGAGCACCUGUAAAAGGUGACUGGAAUGAGAAGCUGUAUUUCAAGAUAAUGAUAUUUAGAUUGGACAUUUUUAGGAUCGAUACAUAGAAAAGAAGCUUUAAACCCGUAAAUUCUUCACUAAUUCAACCAACUGAACAAUUUGUGAAAAUAGUGGAUGGAAUACAUUUGCUUUCCUUAUAACAUAAAACCCUGUGUGUUUUAAAAAAAGAAAAAGAUCAAAUUAAUGAUAUGCCUCCAAGACACUAUGUGUUAAUCCUGGAUGUAUAGAGAAUUCUGAAACAGGAAAAAAAAAAUACCACAUUUCUGAAUUUAUAUGAAAGCAACUUGUUUUUAUUUAUAUUCUUUUACUUAAAUCUACCUGAAAAAACCUUUAUACUCUUUUAAAAUCAGAUAUAUCUUAUGCACAAAUUUGAAUACAUAAUGUAAAAUUCAUUGCCAUCUUUGAGUCAAAAACUUUUCCUUUUUGAAAUAAAGUAUGUAGAGGUGAACAA
Symphalangus syndactylus (siamang) is the source of this 3018-nucleotide long non-coding RNA. RefSeq lists it as uncharacterized. The record is from RefSeq and is a predicted model, not a curated record. Lineage: Eukaryota; Metazoa; Chordata; Mammalia; Primates; Hylobatidae.